Long non-coding RNA from Ostrinia nubilalis (European corn borer), 293 nucleotides. RefSeq lists it as uncharacterized. The record is from RefSeq and is a predicted model, not a curated record. The transcript is spliced from 2 exons. Lineage: Eukaryota; Metazoa; Arthropoda; Insecta; Lepidoptera; Crambidae.
AUAGGUUUUGAUAAUAUUUCCUGGAUGUGGCGGGGUAUUACAUUAACAUCUGUAUCUGCUUCUGAUAAGUGGUUCAAAUCGGCUACUAGUUUUUCUUUCAUAAUGGUGUGAAAGUCCAUGAAGGGGACCUUAAAAUGCUCCGAGUGGUCUUCAUGAGGUUCAGAGUUGGCAACUUGAUCCACAAUUUCGUUCCCUGGUAUGCCUCGAUGAGACGGAAUCCACUUGAGUGAAAUUGGUUUUUUAAUUUCAUUAAUAAUGUUUCUUAUGUUAUAAAUUAAAUAAUUUGUUUUAAA